This 424-nucleotide ribosomal RNA is filed under the name uncultured prokaryote. RNAcentral describes it as "bacterial SSU rRNA". It matches the Rfam family "Bacterial small subunit ribosomal RNA", at positions 355 to 796 of the family's 1533-position model. The record is from RNAcentral.
UGAGGAAUAUUGGACAAUGGGGGAAACCCUGAUCCAGCCAUGCCGCGUGUGUGAUGAAGGCCCUAGGGUUGUAAAGCACUUUCACGGGUGAAGAUAAUGACGGUAACCCGAGAAGAAGCCCCGGCUAACUUCGUGCCAGCAGCCGCGGUAAUACGAAGGGGGCUAGCGUUGUUCGGAAUCACUGGGCGUAAAGCGCGCGUAGGCGGACUGGUAAGUCAGAGGUGAAAGCCCGGGGCCCAACCCCGGAAUUGCCUUUGAAACUAUCAGUCUAGUAUCUCGGAGGGGGUAGCGGAAUUCCUAAUGUAGGGGUGAAAUCCGUAGAGAUUAGGAGGAACACCGGUGGCGAAGGCGGCUACCUGGACGAGUAUAGACGCUGAGGUGCGAAAGCGUGGGGAGCAAACAGGAUUAGAUACCCCCGUAGUCC